Molecule: long non-coding RNA, 1140 nt
Filed under: Equus asinus (donkey)
Lineage: Eukaryota; Metazoa; Chordata; Mammalia; Perissodactyla; Equidae
Description: lncRNA (ENSEASG00005028395.1)
Source: RNAcentral
AUAUUGCGAAAUGAUCACCACACUAAGUCUGGUUAACAUCUGCCACCAUACGUAGAUAAAUACACUGAAGUGGAAUUGCUGGAUCUUAUGGUAGUUCUAUUUUUAAUUUUUUGAGGAACCUCCAUACUGUUCUCCAUGGUGGCUGCACCAGUUUACGUUCCCACCAACAGUGCACGAGGGUUCCGUUUUCUCUACAUCCUCACCAACAGUUUGUUGUCUUUUUAAUAAUAGCCAUUCUGACAGAGGAAGAUUAGCCCUGAGCUAACAUCUGCUGCCAAUCCUCCUCUUUCUGCUGAGGAAGACUGGCCCUGUGCUAACAUCCGUGCCCAUCUUCCUCUACUUUCUUAUGUGUGGGAUGCCUACCACGGCAUGGCUUGCCAAGUGAUGCCCUGUCUGCGCCUGGGAUUUGAACUUGCGAACCCUGCGCUGCCAAGCAGAACGUGCAAACUUAACUGCUGCACCACCGGGCUGGCCUUCAGCUCAUUUGUUAAUUAGAUUUUUUUUUCCUGUUGGGAUGUAUGAGUUCUUUAUAUAUUUUGGAUAUUAACCCCUUAUCAGAUAUAUGCUUUGCAAAUAUUUUCUCCCAUUCUGUAGGUUGCCUUUCAUUUUGUUGAUGGUUUCUUUUGCUGUGCAGAAGCUUUUUAGUUUGAUGUAGUCCCACUUGUUUACUUUUGCUUUUGUUGCCUUUGCUUUUGGAGUCAGAGCCAAAAAAUCAUCGCCAAGAUGUACACCCAGUUGCUUACCGCCUGUGUUUUCUUCUGGGAGUUUUACGGUUUCAGGUCUUAGAUUCACAUCUUUAAUUCAUUUUAAGUUAAUUUUUGUGUAUGGUGUAAGAUAGGGGUCCAGUUUCGUUGUUUUGCAUGUGGCUGUCCAGUUUUCCCAACACCAUUUUUGAAGAGACUAUCCUUUACCCAUUGUAUAUUCUUGGCUGCUUUGUCAUAAAUUAACUGACCAAAAUGUGUGGGUUUAUUUCUGGGCUCCCUAUUUGUUCCAUUGAUCUGUUUGUCUAUUUUUAUGCCACCAUAUUGUUUUGAUUACCAUAGCUUUGUAAUGUAGUUUGAAAUCAGGGAACGUGAUUUCUCCAGCUCUGAUCUUUCCUUCUCAAGAUUGCUUUGGCUAUUUGGGGUCUUUUGUUGUUCU